Molecule: ribosomal RNA, 405 nt
Filed under: uncultured bacterium
Lineage: Bacteria
Description: bacterial SSU rRNA
Rfam family: Bacterial small subunit ribosomal RNA
Source: RNAcentral
GUGGGGAAUAUUGGACAAUGGGCGAAAGCCUGAUCCAGCCAUGCCGCGUGAGUGAAGAAGGCCUUAGGGUUGUAAAGCUCUUUCGGCGAGGAAGAUAAUGACGGUACUCGCAGAAGAAGCCCCGGCUAACUCCGUGCCAGCAGCCGCGGUAAUACGGAGGGGGCUAGCGUUGUUCGGAUUUACUGGGCGUAAAGCGCACGUAGGCGGAUUGUUAAGUCGGGGGUGAAAUCCCGGGGCUCAACCCCGGAACUGCCUCCGAUACUGGCAAUCUUGAGGUCGGGAGAGGUGAGUGGAAUUCCUAGUGUAGAGGUGAAAUUCGUAGAUAUUAGGAGGAACACCAGUAGCGAAGGCGGCUCACUGGCCCGAUUCUGACGCUGAGGUGCGAAAGCGUGGGGAGCAAACAGG